RNAcentral lists this transfer RNA (72 nucleotides) under Bos taurus (domestic cattle). It matches the Rfam family "tRNA". Rfam says of the family: Transfer RNA (tRNA) molecules are approximately 80 nucleotides in length. Their secondary structure includes four short double-helical elements and three loops (D, anti-codon, and T loops). RNAcentral also lists the same sequence under 4 other names. The record is from Rfam by way of RNAcentral. Lineage: Eukaryota; Metazoa; Chordata; Mammalia; Artiodactyla; Bovidae.
UCCCUGUUAGCUCAGAUGGUAAAGAAUCUGCCUGCAAUGCAGGAGACCCGGGUUCAGUCCCUGGGUUGGGAA